AGGCUUGGAGAGAAAAGCAGGGUCUGAUCCAUAGCCUCUGUGGUAGCUGUUGAUCAGCACUUGCCUCUCUCUUUCACUCCA
Non-coding RNA from Myotis brandtii (Brandt's bat), 81 nucleotides. The record is from Rfam. Lineage: Eukaryota; Metazoa; Chordata; Mammalia; Chiroptera; Vespertilionidae.